GAGGGGCCGUCCACAGCGUCACCGACGCCUCUAAGCGUUGCCGGAGCUGCCGCCAGUCAUCGCGGCGGACCACCACCACCUUGCCCCUUCUCCUUCGCGCGAGAGGAAUAUGAACCUGCCUUCUGCAGUUCAUCCAAGCGAUUCGUGCCACCAGUCGUCGCCUCUCAGGCCUUGAGCCAAGGUCGCGCCGGUGGUGCGGCUUGUUGCCGGAGCCGUUGCCACUCGAGCCAAGGCGUCGCCGGCGACGACCUUCACUACCAGGGACAAAUCCAGCCGAUGUCACCGGCGCAUGUGAUUCUCUUCUCCCCUUUCCCCUACCGCGGUCGUCGUCGUCCAAGAGAAGGAAGCCGCCACCACUGAAUCCACCGUUUAAAGAUCAGAGACAACAAUCCCAGAGGCUCGUCGAGACAACCUUUUGGGGUUUUUCGGUGGUCUCUUUUGUUUCGAAUCUCCGUGCCUCAGUUUGAUAGAAUGCUGCCAUUUCUUUUAAUUUUUCGAUUGCCAUAUCUAAGUGCAGGGAUUUUACCACUUAGUGGUUGAUCAAGUUAUGUUUUCCCGUAAAUCUAAUGC
RNAcentral lists this long non-coding RNA (570 nucleotides) under Vigna radiata. Its description in RNAcentral is "long non-coding RNA (VRAD_LNC018336)". The record is from RNAcentral. Lineage: Eukaryota; Viridiplantae; Streptophyta; Magnoliopsida; Fabales; Fabaceae.